RNAcentral lists this microRNA (21 nucleotides) under Helianthus annuus (common sunflower). Lineage: Eukaryota; Viridiplantae; Streptophyta; Magnoliopsida; Asterales; Asteraceae. The record is from RNAcentral.
UUGCGAUUUUUGUUUGUGCUU